RNAcentral lists this unclassified non-coding RNA (341 nucleotides) under soil metagenome. Its description in RNAcentral is "partial contains 5.8S ribosomal RNA, internal transcribed spacer 2, and large subunit ribosomal RNA". The stretch from base 1 to 120 matches the Rfam family "5.8S ribosomal RNA", at positions 35 to 154 of the family's 154-position model. The record is from RNAcentral.
GAUGAAGAACGUAGCGAAAUGCGAUAAGUAGUGUGAAUUGCAGAAUUCAGUGAAACAUCGAAUCUUUGAACGCACAUUGCGCCCUUUGGUAUUCCAAAGGGCAUGCCUGUUCGAGCGUCAUUUGUACCCUCAAGCUUUGCUUGGUGUUGGGCGUCUUGUCUCUAGCUUUGCUGGAGACUCGCCUUAAAGUAAUUGGCAGCCGGCCUACUGGUUUCGGAGCGCAGCACAAGUCGCACUCUCUAUCAGCAAAGGUCUAGCAUCCAUUAAGCCUUUUUUUCAACUUUUGACCUCGGAUCAGGUAGGGAUACCCGCUGAACUUAAGCAUAUCAAUAAGCGGAGGA